UGGGGAAUUUUGGACAAUGGGCGCAAGCCUGAUCCAGCCAUGCCGCGUGCAGGAUGAAGGCCUUCGGGUUGUAAACUGCUUUUGUACGGAACGAAACGGUCUUUUCUAAUACAGAAGGCUAAUGACGGUACCGUAAGAAUAAGCACCGGCUAACUACGUGCCAGCAGCCGCGGUAAUACGUAGGGUGCGAGCGUUAAUCGGAAUUACUGGGCGUAAAGCGUGCGCAGGCGGUGAUGUAAGACAGUUGUGAAAUCCCCGGGCUCAACCUGGGAACUGCAUCUGUGACUGCAUCGCUGGAGUGCGGCAGAGGGGGAUGGAAUUCCGCGUGUAGCAGUGAAAUGCGUAGAUAUGCGGAGGAACACCGAUGGCGAAGGCAAACUCCUGGGCCUGCACUGACGCCCAUGCACGAAAGCGUGGGGAGCAAACA
This 427-nucleotide ribosomal RNA is filed under the name uncultured bacterium. RNAcentral's name for it is "bacterial SSU rRNA". It matches the Rfam family "Bacterial small subunit ribosomal RNA", at positions 355 to 774 of the family's 1533-position model. The record is from RNAcentral.